UUCCCUAAUAAGGGACUCGGCAAAAUAAUCAUCAUAUAUAUACAUCAUACGUACCCGGCCCUCUAGUGAGGGACUCGGUGAAAUAGUCAUCACAUCAUCUCCGUCAUCAUCAUCAUCAUAACCAUCCUCAUCACCAAUCAUAUAUAUAAUAUACAUACCCGGCCCUCUAGUGAGGGACUCGGUGACAUAUGCAAGAAACUCCGCACGAACAUUACCCGGCCCGGGACUCGGUGAAAUGAUAAAUGACUCUAUGCAGGAGCAGAAUAUUAUGAGCAACCAUAUGCAAUUAAAAUCAUUUUUUAUAACUCAAUAGAACAAUCAACGUGAACCAGCAAGGGGUAUUACCAAAGAUUAAUGUUUUAUCAAGAUUAUGAACCUUUAAUAUGAUAUGGAAACGUAAAAUCUCAAUGACUCUAAGAAGCACUACCAUAGAUAUGAGAAAUCACCAUAGCCUUAGACAUAGCCGAUAUAUAGAGGAAUAGUUGUGGAAACAAGAAUAUACGUCACCUAGACGCUCUAGAAGUAAGUAUCAAACUUGUCCGUCAUUAGCUCAUUUUUAAAAGUCAUGCCAAACAAAGAAAGAAAGGAUAGCGUUACAUACCGUAUAGUCGAGCCGCACGUCCAAUAUUUACUACUCAAGCUAUUAAUCUAUAACAAGCAACAAUCGUGCCGCAAUUAGAUAGACGUCGCGCUUUACUACUUAUUGUAAGCUAGCUAAUAAUCUAACGAAAAUCCGGCAACACUUCCCCUAUUUUGCUCACUUCGUCCCAAUCCAACAACAACCCAAAUUAUCCACAGCAAUACCAAUAACACAUAUAACCCAACGAACCAUAUAUAAACAGCCCCUCCCCCCAAAACAGUUCCGUCUCGGCAACCAUAGUAACGAAACAACGACACACCGAGCGAUAACUCUUUUUAUAAUUCGCAACAUAUCGACCUUAUCGUAUUCAUCCUUUGGAGUAUAUACCCAAUCACAUUAACAUAAAACAUAACACCAAAACAGAAUUUCCCGCAUUUUUCUUUAAUAAAAAAAGCCCAAAUACUAACACGACACCACUAAUAACCUGAUUAUGGUUUCCGUUCAUACUUAGCACAUUCAAUAACUAAAACAAAUUUUCAAAGCUACUGGUCAUGCCCCCUUAUUAACAUUAAUGGCUAAUUAACAAUGGCAUUCUAAGGAAUUAACACACCAAGCAAAGAAAUUACUAACCAAAUUCUUUUGUAGCUGCUGGCCGAGAGUUGCAUGGUUGGUUUUAUCCAUUUCCAUGGCUACCUAAGCUAAGUGGUGAAGAAGAUGAUAUGUUUGCAAUGCAUUUCACCACCUCAUUCAUAAUAUGAAGUGGAGGCAGCCCCCCUCUACACGUGCCCCACUAAGGUCCAGCUCCCAAUCUGAUUUCUUUCAAUUUGCCUUGAGUGGUGGAGCCCACUUGAUUAAUUUAAUCUUAGUCAGCCACUAGUUAAUCCCUUACUUAGUUAAUGACACUUACAUUAGACAAAUCAUACUUAAUAUCACAUUUGGAAUUAACAUCCUUGCCUAAUAUUUCUUUAAUCACUUGGAACUUAAAAUAAAAUCUCAUUCCCCGGGCUUACACCUACUAGUUCAUGAUGCUCACUACGUAUAAAAAUACGAGGCGUAACAUAAACUGUGUGAUAUCCAAUUAUGAUAAGAAAUCAUUUUACCAAAAAAGUUCCUAUGUUUUGAAAUAAGAUACUUCAGUAAAUUGGGUAAAACUUCAAUUACUAAUAAUAUCCACCGAUAAAAUUUAGCAUAAAUACACAACAAUAUAACAAACAAAUAUAUGGGCUGCAAAGAUAUUAACUCUCAAAGGAUUUUCUGAAGAAUACAAAAUCACAUCCUUCUUUGGGAAGGAAUAACAUUGUCGAUGAACAAAAUGAGAUUUGUAAGGGCUAUUUUUAAUGUACCUUCAACAAUUUAAGUACAUAAAACUUUCUUGAAUAUUAAUUAAGAUUUGUUAUUUAAUCUGUACUAAGAAAUUCUUAUAACAAUAAUUUUACAUAAACAUUACCAACAAAGUUUAAAACAUUUAUUCAAAAACAAUAAUUAAUUAUAUAAGUAUAAACUAAUGAUUGUAAAAAUAUACCAGGAUAUGCAACAAUAAAUGUAACCAAAUAAAAAAUAUCGCGUUCACUAAAUGAACAAUGUAAGUCAUCUAUUCAUAGACAACAAAGAAUAGUGUAGAAAUAUGAUUAUUGUGUCUUAUCUAACUGUACCACAUUAUUUAUUUAUAUUGUCAAAUAAAAAUCAGUUUUAAAUUUAUGUAAUUUAAUUCCUAGUACAUUGGUAACUGAUUAAGAGUUCUUUUUCUUCCUUUGUAAAACUCCAUAAUUUAAAUUAUUAAAAUUUUAUAGAUCAAAAUUUCAUUAGUUUUUUGGCAUACUUACAAAUAACAUAUGCCACCAAAAUAGUAAAUUUUUAGGGUUUUGGACAAUUAAAAUAAAUGUCUAUGAUUAUAUAAUAUAAAAUGUGUUUCAAUUUUAAAAACAAAAUAGAGUCUACACUUGUAUUAAACUAAAAGCCCUUAUAAUAAUACGAAUUUUGAAAAUAUACUAUUUAAAACCCCACUUCCCCUGAAUUUCCUCGUGUUCACACAUUUCCUAAUUUGAAACUAUUUUUUUUAAAAAAGAUUAAUUUUAAUAUUUAAAUAAUAUAUAACUGGAACAUGAAAACUUAAUGAUAAGCCUUAUCCAUUACACAUGAUAAUUGUAUGAAUUAAUGAAUUUAAAAACUUAAUUAAGAGAAAAAAUUAAGGCUUGAAGAGUGGAACCGUUUGCCACUUCAUAAUUACACAUGUAUUAGUGUUAGACCUCAUUUGUUUCUGUUAAGAUUAAGAGGUCAGGAUCUGAAUACAUAUUUGAAUAUCAAUAUUUGCAUUAAGAUUCAGGUGUUUUAAUAUGAAUACACAUCAAAACACUAAAUAACUAGUGUUGUUUGUUUUUUCAAUAUAUGAAUGUGCAUUUGAAAUUAACAUUAAAUUAGUAAAAUAUCAUAAAAGUUUCAUUUUAACAAAAUAUAUCACUUUUGAUUAAAAGAAAGUUUUAAUAAUCAUGAUUUGGAGUACAAUUUUUUUAUUCAAAAACAUUGAUAAACACCAAUGCACCAACAAUGUUCUUGAGACAGUCAAUACAAGAAAAUUUUUGAUAUAAAAAAAACUUGAAAGAAUUUAUUAAAACUUACCAAUUCAAGAGGGAAUAAUGGUGUUUGAUUGAGAAAAGAGAUAAAGAAAGUUUUUAGUUAUGAGAUAAAAAAGCAGGCUGAGAAGCGAUGUUAUUAUUUGAUAACUUAUUGAAUGAGUCUGAAUGUUGUUAACAUACUCCUAUAGAUCUUAUCUAUUUAGACCUCUUCAGACUCAUUAAGAGGUUUUCUAAAAAAACAAAAUAAAUGAACUUAAUAGGUGAAUUUAAAUAAUUCAGAUUCAGACCUAAAAACCAAACUACUUAGUAGGUUAAAUUUGAAUGAUUAAGAUUUAGACUUUCAUUAAGUGCAAACAAAUGAGGCCUUAGUCCGAAGAAUAAUGUAAUUGGAGGCAUUAACAACAACAAUAGGAUAGUCAUCAAUUGUUUUCCGAAAUACUUACAAAUCCUUGAUAGUUUUUAUAUAUUUAUUUUUUGCCAUUUUUUUAUUUUUUUUUGUUCCUAAUUGCAAGUAAUAACUCUUAGAGGUAAAUAAUGUUUGGUUAUGAUUUUUGUGUUUUUUCAUAUGACUUUGAAUUUUUGGAUGAACCGUUAUAUAGUUCAUUUUUUCUUUUCAAGAAGCACAAACAUGGAUUGUUAAAUUAAAAAAUUUUGAUAUGUGGAUUAAUUACUAAUAAAAUAAAUUUUGAUCAAGAGAUGGGCGACAAAUUUAGAGUAUAAGGAAUAGCUAUAUUUUCGCCUUUUUCAAAUAUAUUUUAAAAUUUGUGCUUGGAUAAUUAAUUUAAAAAAUAUUUGUGAUUCACGAUUGACUUAGUAUUUUUAAAAAUUGAUUAUGAGAGUUAAAUUAAGAAGAAAGUAAAAUGCAAUUUUAAUAUGAAGAUUAAUUAUUUUAUAGAGAAAAAUUAUUUUAAAUAUCUAUUAUAAAAUUUUUAAGUAAUAGUUAAUUUCAAUUAAAUUAAUAUGUAGAUAUUUAAAUUUUAAUUUAAUAUUAUACAUAUAUAAAUAAAAAUAAAUUUAAAAACUCAAAUCCGUAAAAGUAUGGUGCAACUUAUGCAACAUGAGUCUUUUAUGUAUUUAUUGAAUUGAAAUGAAAUGACAAUAGAAGAAUAGCAAAAAUAUAAUGAUAAUAUUCCAUAACGAAAGGGACAAAAUCUUAAGAAAAAAUUGACAUAUUAAAGAAUUCACACAAAUCGAGUCUUUUAUAUCUCGAUUGUAUUGAAAUUAAAAAUAUUUUUUGAAAUUCUUUUUUAUAUUAAGCUGCAUAUAAGUUAUGUCAAACAUCAUGGUCAUAAGAAACAAAUUCAAACAAAUUAGCAAAAAAGUGAAGAUGCAUGUCUACUUAUCACACUUUAAGAAGACUUUUUUUACUUUAGAAAUUUCUGAGUUUGGCAAUUAUUUUAUACUUAAAAGAAAAUUUUGUGACAUGAUUAUAAUUGAGAUUUUAUUGAGUGUCCUCAAAUAUAGUUUUUCUUAAAUAAUUUCUUAUAUUAUUUUUAUCAUAUUAUUAUUAUUAUAUUUUUAUUCUUAAUCAAUACAAUAAAAAUAUAUUUUCUUAAAUUUUGAGAACUAAUACAUAGGUAAUAAAAAACUUUCUCAUUGAUUUUCUCUAUCUUCUUAAUGAUAUUUUUUUCUAAUUUGUUUUUGCAAUAAGGAUUUAAUUUGAUAGGAAUUUUUUUUCUUAUAUACACGUAUCCGUUCAUUCUAUUAAUAAAAACUGAUUUGGAAAUUAAUUUUUAAUAUAUAUAUAUAUAUAUAUAUAUAUAUAUAUAUAUAUAUAUAUAUAUAUCAUAUAAUUAUAUGUAUCAUAUAAAAAAUAUCAUAUAAUUAUAUGUAUUUUUUUCAAAAAAAUAAAAUUUAUGAUAAAAAUAAAAGAUAAAAUUUAAUAUUUUGAAUAUCAUUCUUAUAAUUUGAUAAUAAAAUGUUUAAAGAUGUUUUAUGGUUGAAAUUGUCAUAAUCAUAAUCAUAAAACUUCUCUUUGUUACAAUUUAUCUUUUUCUAAUAUUUAACUUUAUUAGAUUUUUAUUUUCCCAACAAGAUGAUGAUACAGACAGAUUGUGAGAGUAUCUAUGAUUUUAAAUAAUCUUAUAAAUAAAUGAAAUAAUACUAAAAUUAAUUAUUGUAGACAAUGUCGAUAACGUAUAAACUUUAAUAUUGAUUUGUUUUCGCAAGUAUUCUACUAUAACAUAUCAAUCUAUCAGAUGUUAACACUCUCUAAUAUAAACAUUACUAUAUUAUUUUAUAAAUUGACUUUGAAAUUAUCAAUAAAUUAUACACAACACGGAUACGUAUACUAAUCUAUAUAAUAGGAAAAUACAAAAUGACACAUAUCAACACUAUAAUUUUUUCAUAAUUUUAAACUAUAAAUGAUUGAACAUUGUAUAACUAAUAAAAUAUUCUCAAUUCUAAGUUUAAAAUAAAAAUAUGCAUGUGAAAUAAAGACCAAUUGAUUAUUUAACUCAUCUUCAAUGAACGUUAAAUAGAUUAUUACUAUUAUUGUUUGAAAUAUUAUCGAGGACAGAUUUAGAUUUACUAUAAGUGAAAUAGAUUAUAUAAGAGUUGGAGUUUUCACAUGUGAUGAAUAUAAUAUUUAUGACAACAUAAUAAAUAUAUCAGUUUUUUGUUUCAAAUUUAUAAAUAAUAAAAAAAACUAGAGCAGUUUCAUAAUCACUCAACAAGGAAACUUCAACUACAUCGAUAGACUAUAUUUUUAAAUGCAUGCAUUAUACAUCGAACUUCUUUCACUAAAACAAUUACGUUUUCUCUGAAAUUUGAAAACAGACAUGACUACACAAUUUUAAUACAAAUUGAGAAAUUACAGCCAAAUAUAUGCAAUGAACCUGAUAACCGUGUUGUUCGCUUGUGGAUAAUACCAUAUAAAUCGAAGUCGUGAAUAAUACCUUACUCUUUAGAGAUGGUUUUGCAGGACGAAAAGGUAAUAUUCAUAUAAAUAUUUUUUUAUUUACACGAUAAUAAGUAUCAUAAUACAAUUAGUUUAUAGAUACAAUUCCCUUAUAUUUAUUCAUUAGUUUUUAUUUACGUAAUUUUUCAAAUUCUUCAUUCUUAGAAAUUUUGUUUGAUAUUUUUAUUUUUAUUUGUAAAUUGUGAUAAUCAUAGUAUAACAUAUUAUGUCUCAAUUUUUUUCUUCGGUUACAAUAGAUAUAUAUUCAAAUAAGGAGUGAAGAGGUAUAUUUUGAGUUUGUUAGUUUGAUUCUUAAGUUUUAAUUAGUGGAGUAAUUAGAAUGUUGAUUUUGUUUUGUUGAUAUUUUAUGAUUAAUUGAGUUGAUGCUUUCAAGUGUUAAUUUUCCUUAAAAUUUAAAUUAUUAUUUCAAUAUAAUACUUAAACUGUUAUAUAUAUAUAUACAGAGAGAGAGAGAGAGAAUAAUUGAGGUACACAUAAUAAAUCAAAAAAAUAUAACAGUUUGAGUAUUAUAUUGACAUAAUAAUUUUAAUUUUAAGGAAAAUUAACACUUGAAAGAAUCAUUUGAUUACUUCACUAGAUACUUGUCAUAGUAUUAUCACUAGCCAAUUCAAUUACUUCAUGAAUGAAUUAUAGUAGUCUAACAUGUUAAACAAGCCAACUUUUUACCUUUGAUUAGUCUAUGAAACAAUUCAAUGAACAACUUAUAACAAUUUCAUCUUCUCGAACACAAGUAGGCAUUACAACAUUCAUAUCUCAUGUAAAUAACACCCUAAGCAUGCAGAUCUAACAUGUAGGUUUCAUUCGACAUAUAAAUCACUAAAACAUACACAUAAUGAUCAGUUAGCACCACGUACAAUCAUCAUGCUCAAGAUUUACAUCAUACAAAUUACAAGAAUUGGAAAUUAGGAGAACUAGGGAGAUGAACAUGCGACUCAUUGGGAGUAACCCUAGUUUCGAUAUUCUUGAUUCCAAAACGUUUGAAAAGCCUCUUGGAGAAAGAAUUCCAGGAGAGAAAUCUCAUACCUUAUGUAGAAUUGAAUCUACGAAUAUCACCUUGCACCUUUUCACAAAUACUUAAAAGAACUUCUUGAAAUCGCCUAAGGAGAACUUUUGUUUUUCUUGCAUUUUACUGCUUUCAAGUCGUGUGUUUCUUAGUGAAUGAUUGUGUGUCUAGGUCUAGGAACCGAAUAUUUAGUAAUUUAACUUAGACUAAUUAACUUCAUUAAUAAAUCAAUUAGCUAAUUUACUAAAAUGCUCCUCCUAAAUUGACUAGAAUUAGAAAAACACUUGACUUGACCAAAAUCUAGAAAUUGCUUAGUGGUUUUGGUUUUGACCAAUUAAAUUAAUUAAUUAAGUUGCUAAUUUAAUUAAUUAGGUCCUAGGAUAAUUACUAAAGUAACCCUAAGUUGUUAGGACCAUAAUCAACCCUUUGGACCAUCCUAGGUUAGGUACUAUGAUGUUUCUUAGUUAGUUACUUGUCUAGUGUAAGGAUUUCGGUUUGACCAUUUAAAUUAAUUAAUUAAGUUGUUAAUUUAAUUAAUUAAGUAACCUAGGGUAAUUACUAAAGUACUCCUAAGUCAUUAGGACCAUAACCAACCCUUUUGGACCAUCCUAGGUUAGGUACUAAGAUGUUUCUUGAGUUAGUUACUAGGUUAGUGUCACCCGGUUUGGUCUUAGGUUGUCGGGUGCACUAGUUAGUUUAUUUCAGAUAGUCCUAGGUUAGUUAGCUAGUUAAGUAAGUUAGAUAGAGCCUAGAGCUUUUUAGGAAGCUCAUCCUCACAUGGCACGACACCCACAUGUGCGCCUGCCCCUAACCGCCCUAACCACCCUAACCAAAUUCUUGCACAUGGGUUGCUGCUCAUUUCUUGUUGUUCCAAGUAUCCUCACUAUAUUCUUGGGCACUUUUUACUCUGCAUGAUCAUUUUAAUUGAUCAUGUGCUAUGGUACCUAGGCUUGACACUUGGAUGCCUCGUACAUAGUAUUGUAAGCUAUGAAAUCUAUAUUUUAUCCUAGGGUCUUCAUUGUAGGUACAAUUCCUAAACUAGAUUGGAUUGGCGCAUUUGCACACCAAAGCAUAUCUUAAUACAUAAAAAUUGGCUAAAAAUCAAAGUGUAUUUUAAGUUACUUGUUGAUACAUAAAAUUUGGCUAACACCCUUAAGCCAAUAUUCUCUAACAUUCCCAAUAUUACUAAAUAUUGGGCAUUAGGAUGCCUAUCCCAAUACAUACUCUUAAAACUUAAUAGUCUUUCACUAGACGAGUACAUUUUUAGGAAUGUUACAAUAGAAUCACCCCCUCAAAAUGGAUUAUCAUCAACGUACAUCAUGCAACCUUAAUUUGACCAUACUCAGCCCUAGUUCAUUAUCUAAGGCUUCUUCCUAGGGUUUAAAUAAUAAAUAAUUCAGUACACGAAGUCCUAUGCAUAGUUCCUACCAUUGAUUACAUAUAUUACACAGUGAGCACAUAUUUAAACUCCUCAAUUCAUAAACACCUAGCCUACUUGGGCGCCAAGUAGUUGCACAAAGUUUUGAACCUCAAUUAUGAUUUUUUUUCAAGCUUCAUGAUGGUGAAUUUGGCUGGUAUAUGCAAGAUAUCACCAUCGUCUCGCAAAAAAAUCAUAUUCUCCUCCCUUACCAAGGAUAGAGUUGCUUUUUGAGGUUUCUAGCGUGUACUAUAUAAGGUAUUGACUUGAAUGUUGGGGCAUAGAUUAUCUCCGACUGGAAGAUGUCUAUCGGUGUAAACAGAAGGUGUUCUUUCUUCUUGGUCUUAUUACUAUGCUAUGUAAGCGAGCAGGAGUUCCAAUGAUUGAUGUUGAAGAGGUACUUCCUAUGAUCACCCUUCACCCUCUUUUUUUGGAGAAGGUUAUACUUCUAGGAGAAAGAGGAGAAGGACUGGUAGUUCUUGUAGUGGUUAGACGAAUGUAGGGUUGGACGAGGAGGGAGGUUAUGACACUCGUCCCCCAAUUUCCAAGUCACAAGGUAGAGUAGGACUUCGAUGAUUUAUUAUGGAAUAUGGGGUGCCCUUUUAAUCCCACCAUUCUGGUUCCCCGAUCAUUGUCCUAAAGCUUUUGAUGCUCUGGCGCAAGCUAUGCCCGGAGAGUAGGAAGAACCUAGAGAGGGACCGUAUGAUAAUUUGGCUCCAAAAGACAGUGAAGAUCAUGUUUACGUGCAUCAUCCCAAUGGAAGAACACCCUAGUGGAGAACGUUUAUCACAUUUAGUUUUUGGUUCAGGAUGAGGCUGUGACCGGCCUUUUUGACUGAUAUGGGUGAGUUCGGACACCAUUCGGGGUCUAAAAUAAUUAUUUGAAAAAUAAGGAAGACAUGCCGAGGUUCUUCCUGUUUCAUCCUGCCAUGGUGGGAAUAAUCCUUCCCCAGGAGAAAAAUGGAGAUAGAACUGCUAAGAUUUUUCUGGGGCUCUUUACUUUUUUAAAAUUUCCAAAAAAGUCCUCAACUUCACCCUGCAAUUCAAGAGUAAUUUCUAUAACUAGGACUAUUGUGGUAUACCCUCCAUUCAAUCCCAUGAUAUGCAAGUCAAUUCAAUCUCGUUAAUUUAGAAACCCAACCCGUACAUCCAUAGGAUACACCCCGACAUUUACAUCUCCCUUAUUUAAACCAAUUAGCCAAAAAGUUGGACAUAAUAAGGUUCAAACACACAUUUGUAAUGCAUGAAAUUUCAUCCCCAAAAGCUAGAUAACAAUUGGAACCUUCCCAGUUCUAAUUAACAUUUUGGUUUCCCUUCACUCAUAUCAACGACGUCCAAUUCACUUUGUUGAGAUAUCAAUUGGAAUCGAGCGAUAUCAAAUGGUCACAACUCAUACCACAAGCGACACUCGCAUAAAGAAGAUAAUAAGUGGAAUAAUUUACUAGAAUACGUCCUAGCCUCCUAUAUAUUAUAUGUGGACGUUAACACACCAAUCCGCAAGAGUCUAGUCUACAUUUUGCUCUUGUACGGGGAGACCGAUAACCUAGUCUCGUAUACCAAUUUAUCAGUACCCAACCAACCAGGUCGUGUGGGUAUCCACUCUAACACCUAAGUAGGAGAACCCUCAUACCCAAAUAGUUAAACCCUCAUUUGUCUUCACCUAAUGAAACGCCAUAAAUAUUGUAUUCAGACUAUGCAAAAAAGGCAUAGUAAGAGUAUUAUCAAUAUAAACACACGUACUAUAGGCAUCAUCGAUCAACCCAACGCCCACCGCAUAAAUAAGAAAUUAACUAGAAGAAAUAUAUAAUCUAGCAUUUCUUCCCCACUCUUUUUCAUCUCUUAAAACACCUCAAAUUGACACUAGUACUCUCACUACUAAACACCUUCUCGAUCUACCCACUUACCAGGUACUAGAUCGUCACCUAACCAUUCUAACACAUAGAAAGAGUUUCCAAAUAUAUCUACAUGCAUUCCAACUAUCCUCUCACAUUAUACCAUUACUUUUGUUUCACAUUACAACACAUGAACAACCCUUGCUAUAAGUUACUCGCCCCCUUGAACACUUUUCCCUUCUCUUAUACACAAAAGUUCACUCCACACCAGGAACAAUCAAAUAUAAGUCUUCCUACUCUAUACCAACAAAGCACAACAUAUAUAAUUCAAUAACACAACAUAAUCAAAUCCAUAUGUAGAACACACACCAUGUCAUCAACAUGAAGAACAACGACACAUUUAACAUUCCUUAAGUUUCACAACUAUGUAAAUCAUUAGUCCUCUCAAGGAAUCCAAACUUAAACAGUUAGCAUAGCUAUAUGUAAUUCCCCAUCCAAUAUGUAUGUCCGAACGUGACAACCAAUCCAUAGUUAUGCAAAAACUUGGUAACGGAUCAAAGUUAGUUAUGUUGGAACGUGGCAACAAGCCAAGUUUGUUAUGCCGAAAUGUGACAACUGAUCCAAGUUAGUUAUACCGGAAUGUGGCAACCAAUCCAUUCAUUAAUCCAUUAUCUUAAUCACAACAUAUCAGCAUAGUCAUAUAAAAAAAUAUUUAUGAUCCGUAGUGUCGUCAUUCAUAGAUACUUGUAUACCUACACAUACCACAAUGAAGUAAGAACAACAAACAUCACUAAAUCAUAGAAUCACCCUCCUUACAAUGAAAUAUUCAUCAACGCACAUCAUGUAACCUUAAUUCAACCAUACCCAACCCUUAUUCAUCUUCUAACACUUAUUCUGGGGGUUUAAAGUAUAAAUCAUUCGGUGCACGAAGGCUUACCCAUAAUUCCUACUAAUAUAUAUAAAUUGUAUAGGUAGAAGAUGUAUUUUUUGAUUUUGUUUUCAUUAUUUUAUAUGGCUGCUGUAGUACUGCAUCUUAUAUAAGAACAUUAACAAUACUAGUUCUAUAAGGACAUUAAUAUCUAAGGUAUUACAAAUGCACACAACUUCACUACUAAUAGGUAUCUUAUAGAGUUGUAUAGCUAAUCAACUCCCUCACGUAAUUGAUGUCUUAAUACUCCCCUUGCAAACAGAAGGUGGGUAACCAACUCUAAGUUUGUCCCUUAAGAACUGGAACUGAGCAGAUGAUAAGGACUUGGUGAAGACAUCGGCUAGUUGAUCCUUGGAAAAGAUAAAAUGCACAAGUAGGUCCUUUCUCGCUACCUUAUCCCUGACUAAAUGGAAAUCAUUUUGCACAUGCUUGGUACGAGCAUGUAAUAUAGGAUUAACAGAUAAAUAAGCAGCGCCAAUGUUGUCACACCAUAAGAUAGGAUCUUUUGGUAGGGAGACAUCAAGCUCGAAUAAGAGCGAUUCAAUCCAAGUUAGUUCAGCUGCGGCAUCAACUAAAGCUUCAUAUUCAUAUUCAGUUGAAGACCUAGCAACUGUAUGUUGCUUCUUUGAUGACCAAGAAACUAAGGAAGAUUCCAGAAAAUAGCAUAAUUACCUGUUGAUUUUCGAUCAUCUAAAGAGCCACCCAAUCAGCGUCCGUGAAGACUUGAAUAAACUGAGUAUCAGACUUAGGAAUGAAAUGACACAUAUCCUUGGUGUGCUGCAAGUAUCGCAAUAUCCUUUGACAGCAGCCCACUGAUUUGUGGAAGGAUUAUGCAUAAAUUGAAACACUUUGUUCACCACAAAAGAGAGAUCUGUAUGGGUGAGAGUGAGGUACUGAAGAGCUCUAACAGUUUGUCGAUAUAGAGACGGAUCAUGAAAAGGAGGGCUGUCAUUUUUUUGAAGCUUUAUAGAAGGAGACAUGGGUGGUACCAGUGGAUUACAUAUCUUCAUUUUGCACGUUCCAAUAAGCUUGAAAUAUAGUGAUGUUGGUAUAAAGAGAGACCAGACUUUGUACGUUCAACUUGGAUGCCAACGAAAAGAUUCAAUGGUCCAAGAUCUUUAAAGGCGAAGACAUAGCCCAAUCGAAGAAUAAUAUUGUCCAAGAAUUCAGAAUCACUCCCUGUAAAUAUUAUAUCAUCUACAUAGACAAUGAGAUGGAGAAACCCAUAUACAGCAAAAGGUUGUGAAACUUUAAAUACCAUGCACGAGGAGUUUGUUUGAGUCCAUAUAAAGACUUGUGUAAUCAACAAAAUUGAUCGGGGAGAUGUGGAUAAAUAAAACCAAAGGGUUGAGCCAUAUAUACCUCUUCACGAAAGUCACCAUGAAGGAAAACAUUUUGGACAUCAAGUUGUCGCAAACGCUAGUCAUGAGAAGAAGUAAACGUUAGAAUGAUAUGAAUUGUUGUGGGUUUGACGACAGGACUAAACGUCUCAAAGAAGUCGUGCCCUUCUCCUUGAUGAAAUUCUUUGGGUACUAACCUUGCCUUAUAGCGCUCAAUAGUUCUAGCGGAAUUUUCUUGAUUUUAAAAACCCAUUUGCAGCCCAAAACAUUUAUCGAGGGGUUGCAAGGAAUAAGGGACCAGGUUUUAUUAUGCAAAAGAUCAGUCAUUUCACAAGCCAUCCGCAAGUCUGAUGAUCUAUUAGCAAUAGUGGAACAUGUUGGUUCACUGGUUGGACAAGUUGGUGAGGAAGAUGAAACUACAAGGUUGAAGGAUAGUUGCAUAUUGACUAUCUUGAAAUUGUGAGUCCUAAUAGUCAACAUAGAGGGUUGGUGCGAUCAGGGAUAAAUGGGGAGGCAUUAACUAGUUGUAUGGAAGGAACAGGAGCAGCUAUUUUAGAAUCAGUAGGGAUAAAGGACGAGGGAUCGGCUAGACUCAAAUGGUGGCCUUUUUGUGAUAGCGAUUUGGAGACACUGAGGUUGAUAUUGAUUUGGAAAUACUGGAUAAUAUAUGGACAUGGGAUGUGGGAAAAGAUACAAGCAAUGAAAGCCAAGGAGACUUAUAGUGGACCAUGUGCGUAGGAGGUGAUCCUAGUAGAGAAUUUAAGAAGAAAGGAAAUUGUUCCUCCUCGAAACGUACAUGACGGACCAAAUAUAACCUACCUGACUUUGGAUGAAUACAUCUAUAUCCUAAGUAUCUUGUAUUGUAGCCCAGAAAAACACAAGGUGUUGUGCGAAAAUAAAACUUGUGUUUAUUAUAAGGACGUAGAGAGGGAAAACAAAGAAACCCAUAUUCUUUAAGAAAACGAUAGUCAGGCAAAUUGUUGAGAACUAAUUUGAAUGGAGAAGAAUUAUUAUUUGAUGGAGAAUAAAGGAGAUUGAUUAGAUAAACAGCAGUAUCAAAAGAAAAUGCCAAUAUUUUGACGGAGUAGAGCUAUCUGUGUUAUGCCUCGUAUUUUUUUAUACGUAGUGCGCAUCAUGAUCUAGUAGAUGUAAGUCCGGGGAAUGAGAUUUUAUUUUAAGUUCCGGGGAAUGAGAUUUUAUUUUAAGUUCCAAGUGAUUAAAGAAAUUUUAGGCAAGGAUGUUAAUUCCAAAUGUGAUAUUAAGUAUGAGUUGGCUAAUGUAAGUGCCAUUAAUUUUAAGUGAGGGAUUAAUUAGUGACUGAUUAGGAUUAAUUUAAUCCAAUGGGCCCCACUACUCAUAAUUGGUGGCUGAUUAGGAUUAAUUUAAUCCAGUGGGCCCCACCACUCAAGGCAAAUAUUAAAAAAGGGAUCAGAUUGUGAGCUGGCCUUAGUGGACAGGUGUAGAGGGGGGCUGCCUCCACUUCAUACUAUUAAAUGAGGUGGAGAAAUCUACUCCAUGCUAAAUAAAGUGGUGAAAUGCAUUGCUGCAUAUCAUCUCCUUCUUCACCACUUGUCUUAGGCAGCCAUGGAAAUGGAGAAACCAACCCUGCAACUCUUGGCCAGCAGCUGCAAAUAAUUUGGUUAGUAAUCUCCUUGUUUGGUGUGUUAAUUCUUUAGAAUACCUUUGUUAAUUAUCCAUUAAUUUUAAGAAGGGGGCGUGACCAGUAGCUUAGGAAGUUUGUUUUAGUUAUUGAAUGUGCUAAGUAUGAACGGAAACCAUAAUCGGAUUAUUAGUGGUGUCGUGUUGGUGCUUGGGCUGUUUUGAUUAAAGCAAAAUGCGGAAAAAUUCUAUUUUGGUAGUAUGUAUAUGUUAAAUGUGAUUAUGAGUAUAUACUCCAAAGGAUGAAUACGAUAAGGUAGAUGUGUUGCGAAUUAUAAAAUGAGUUAUCGCUUGCUGUGUCGUUGCUUCGCUGCUAUGGUUGCCGAGACGGAACUGUUUUGGGGAGGGGACUGUUUAAUAUGAUUCGUUGGGUUAUAUGUGUUAUUGGUAUUGCUGUGGAUAAUUUGGGUUGUUGUCGGAUUGGGACGAAGUAAGGAAAAUAGGGGAAGUGCUGCCGAAUUUUCGUUAGACUAUUAGCUAGCUUACAAGAAAGUAAAGCGCGAUGUUUAUCUAAUUGCGGCAGGAUUGUUGCUUGUUAUAGAUUAAUAACUUGAGCAAUAAAUAUUGGACGUGUGGCUCGAUUAUACGGUAUGUAACGCUGUCCCUUCUUUCUUUGUUUGGCAUGACUUUUAAAAAUAAGCGAAUAACAGACACGUUUGAUACUUACCUCUAGAUCG
RNAcentral lists this long non-coding RNA (14928 nucleotides) under Solanum lycopersicum (tomato). RNAcentral describes it as "long non-coding RNA (SLYC_LNC000186)". Lineage: Eukaryota; Viridiplantae; Streptophyta; Magnoliopsida; Solanales; Solanaceae. The record is from RNAcentral.